GCAUCUUCUUGAUGCGCUCCUUCUCAGAGGACAGCGUGAUGUCGGCACUUUGACUGCGGAACAGCUUGUCCUCUGGCCCGUUAACACACAUGACUGGAGGAGACUGGAGGUCAUCGGAGAGGUCCUAAGGAACACAUCAACGUUGCGGUUGGAGUCAUAGAAGAAGGACACGGUGACGGCAUGCUUGCUCGCAGGGAUCCAGUUCCUCUUGGUGGCCGGAUCGAUCUGGAAGACAUGAGCCCGAGUGCUGAAGAUGGGCUGCUCUCUGGAGGAGAAAGAUACAAGGACGAUGAUGCAAGUGCAGGAGAUACUUGGAUGACUGUCAUGUUCGCUGUGAGCCUCACGGUGUCACAAGAGGAAACAUUUGACCUAAUUCAUCAAGGAUCCUUCUGCUCUUCAUCACCAGCAUGUUGCGUGAAAGAGGCCAAGUAUGACCGUGGUGAAAAACCAGGACGCUUCUUCCUCCUACGUGUGAACUGAUGUUCUCAGGAGAACUGUUUUUUUGUGGCCAGUCAUAAAAGUACAUUUAGAUCUGACCCCAUUAGUGACACAAAAAUCCAAUUGUAUAUCUUCUACUAUGGGAGAUCCCAAUGUAUGAAAGGACCGGCAUUAACUGUCUUUUGUUUCCUUUGGUCUCCAUCAGGCACACAUGCAGACUGUCGUUGGUGUCUACAAAGACUGUAGACAUGGAGAGAGGUAUUUCCGUAGCCAACGCACUGCAGUCUGAUGACCUAUGUUAUAAUUCUCCUUCUCAUCCCACUCUAAUCCUCUCUGUGGUCAGUGGAUCUGCUUUUUGCCCCCCCCUUUAUUGCUCUCAUCUGAUCUGAGGUCUGACUGGACCAACACACACACAUACUACACACACUUGACAAAGUCAGAUUUUCUUCCGAGUUCAUUAAAAACCCCCCAAAAAAAACAAAAAAAAAAACAAAAAAAAAAAAACAACGGUAUUCCCAGCUAAAAGCAAAUCAGUGAUUCUCAACCAGACGGAACCCAAAAAUAUUUUGACUGGGUCAUGGACAGCUCGUCAAAAAUCAUGUUCCAAUAACAUUAAUCCGUUACAGACACCCAAAAUAAAAAUGGACAAAAAAAAAUGGACUAUAUUGUUGAUGGUGACUUCCCGUACUUUCUGGAAGUUCAAUCGAAUUCAACAUUUUCGCCUCGAUAAAAUUGCUGGCACUCAUUACUUUCUUUGGCCCCAUGGCGGGUUAUUUAGCCGUCACCCAUUAACAAAAAUUCACGGACACUGAGUCAGCAAACAAGACUAAUUUGUGAUGUGCAACACUGUACAGAAACUGAGACCGUGGACAAAAUCUGAGGCGACUAAAAUGGUUGACUGUACAGUGGAACCUUGGUUAGCGUCAUGAAUUUGCUCCAGAAAGUCCGACUCUAACCAAAACAAACUUUUUCCCAUAAGAAAUCAUGUAAAUCCAAUUCAUCCAAAUGCAUAUUAAUGAUGGCUGAACGGAAUAAAUGAACAUUUACUUUUACCUUCACUCACUGAAGACGUGAUUUUUGACGUUAGUAUUCCCAAAGACACUACAUGGAUACCAUCUUUCUGUUUUGCCAUGAGUUAUUUCUGGAAUUCUAUAGAAUUUGUCAAUCCCAUAUCACAUAUAGACAAACAACCAUUCACAUUCAUACCUAUGGACCAUUUGGAGUUGCAUGUUUUUGGAAUGUAAACUUCACACAGAAAUGCCUAAACAGAGAAUCGAGAACCCAGGUCUUCCCCAUCUCCUGACUGUGUGGCCAGCAUUCUAACCACUCAACCACCGUACAGCCCUAUUUGAACUGUCAUAUAAGCAAAAAAUAUUUGUCUCAAAGUGAAAGUUCUGCUUGAAUUGUAUCUUUUCACAAAAAGCUGUUUUUUUGUUUUAGUCAGGAACUGAUAUUUUCCUAAAACUUACCUAUGUUCUACUGCUGAUUACUAAAGAACGGAAAAAGGUAGAAACAAAGCUUUACUUUCCAAAGAAAGACAUUUGAUCCAAACUGGAGACAGCUGGGAUAGGCUCCAGCAUGCCCGCCACCCUCGUGAUGAUAAGCAGUGGAAAAUAAAUUAAUGGAUAAAC
This is a non-coding RNA of Doryrhamphus excisus (bluestripe pipefish), 2069 nucleotides long. The record is from RefSeq and is a predicted model, not a curated record. NCBI's taxonomy places the organism in Eukaryota, Metazoa, Chordata, Actinopteri, Syngnathiformes, Syngnathidae.